Molecule: ribosomal RNA, 570 nt
Filed under: Clostridioides difficile
Lineage: Bacteria; Bacillati; Bacillota; Clostridia; Peptostreptococcales; Peptostreptococcaceae
Description: partial 23S ribosomal RNA
Rfam family: Bacterial large subunit ribosomal RNA
Source: RNAcentral
UGGUCAAGUUAUUAAGGGUGCAGGGCGGAUGCCUUGGCACUAGGAGCCGAUGAAGGACGUGAUAAGCUGCGAUAAGCUUCGGGGAGUUGCACGUAAACUUUGAUCCGAAGAUUUCCGAAUGAGGAAACUCACUUAGAGUAAUGUCUAAGUAUCAUUAAGUGAAUACAUAGCUUAAUGAGGGGAACUCAGGGAACUGAAACAUCUAAGUACCUGAAGGAAGAGAAAGAAAUUCGAUUCCGUAAGUAGCGGCGAGCGAACGCGGAUUAGCCCAAACCAAUAAAGUUUUCUUUAUUGGGGUUGAGGACAUACCACAUAUAAGAGGUCAUUAUAGACGAAGAAGUUUGGAAAAACUCAUCAUAGAAGGUAAUAAUCCUGUAGUCAAAAUAAUAAUUCUUUAGGUAUGAUCCAGAGUACCACGGGACACGUGAAACCCUGUGGGAAGCAGGAGGGACCACCCUCCAAGGCUAAAUACUACCUAGUGACCGAUAGCGUAUAGUACCGUGAGGGAAAGGUGAAAAGAACCCCGGGAGGGGAGUGAAAUAGAACCUGAAACCCUGCACUUACAAGCUG